RNAcentral lists this long non-coding RNA (1410 nucleotides) under Heterocephalus glaber (naked mole-rat). Its description in RNAcentral is "lncRNA (ENSHGLG00000044685.1)". Lineage: Eukaryota; Metazoa; Chordata; Mammalia; Rodentia; Bathyergidae. The record is from RNAcentral.
AAUGCAAACUACUGUUUUUCAGUCCUCCCCUGACCUGGAAGCCACCAAUCUGUGAGUUUGGUACUUCCCCAUCUAGAUAUAGACAGUAGUACCCCGGUCUGGUGCUGCCAGGCUUCCUUUGUAUAACCUGGUAGCGGAUUUAUAGCUGUUAACUCAUCCCCCAAAGCCUUUCUGCUGGUUACAGGUUGGAAGCCGCUCUCUGCACCCGAGCCAAGGCUGUAGGUGUUCAGAGAGAACCUAGAGGGAUGGAUUGUAAAAGAGUUUAUAUACUGCAACUUGGAGGGUCUUGUUUAUGUUUAGGAGCAAAACUAAAAUGAAAAUUGUGUCAAAUCCAAAUAGAUCCUCUCAGCAUCCCAACAGCUCUCAGGCUUUAGGGAAUCUGUAGCAGAUAAAUACUCUUAAUUUUUCUCUUACAAAGUUAUCUUCUCUGCUCCUUCUGAUACUUUCUGUUUACUUGAAACUGGGAAAAAGCAUCUUGUGUAUGUAAUUUCUAACUCUAGGUGGCUUCUGCAGUCAAUAUUUUUCAAUGUCUGCUGGACAAGAGGGACUGGACUUGGGGCUCCCUUGCUCUAGACAUGAAGGAAAUCCAGUUUGGGUGGGAGAGGAACAACAACUGCUGAGGACUCUGGGAGGAAGCUGGGAAGUCCAAGAUAAAGUCCAAGAUCAAGUUUCCAACAGAUUCAGUGUUUGUCUCUUCUGAAUUCAUGGGAAAGGUGCAGGAGAGGUACGUCUCCAGGAACCAGAAGCUCUGUCACUUAUUUAUAAUGUGUGGUUCCAUGUCCUUGUCACUCGGAGUCUUUCAGCUGAGCCACACAUUUACUUAAAGAGUGAGAAAAAGAGAGUAAGCACCACUAAGGAAAGUAGUUUGGACACAUAAAGGUAAGAAAAUUGGCACUUUUCAUCCUAAAACCUACUCAAACUAAUGCUAUAGACAGUGUAUAUUUAGUUAAACAGAAAAGCAUUGAUGGUGUCACCUCACAGCUGUCCCUACUGCCAUCACAGGAAGGGAGGCCCAGCCCAGAGGUAAAGGUCACUGGACUGACAUCUGUGGCUACACCCCAGGCCUUUUGGGUGGAGAAGGUCCCCCUCCACCUACACUGAGUCUAUUGGGGGCAAACCUUGGUUUUCCAGUCCCCUAGCAUUUCCCUGGGGAGGUAAAGAGCUACCUUGGAAGACAGGAGACAGUGGUGUCUUCCUGUGCAGACAGCAGGGCCUGAGGCCCAUCAGUGUUUGCUGUGGUCACCAGCGAUGGGUAAGACCUGCCUUUGCUGUCCUCUGGGAGCAAUUACUUUAUGUUUAUUGCAGACAUCCAUCACACCCAGGGAGGCUAUAUAAAUACAAUAUGUCACCUUUAACUGUUUGCUAAUUGAGCCGAUGCUGUGGGAUUUCCUGAUGAUCAGUUGACAUGAG